GCUUAGCUCAAUUGGUUAGAGUGUUGUGCUGAUAACGCAAAGGUUAUGGGUUCGGAUCCCAUGGAUCCUACCGUCAAUA
RNAcentral lists this transfer RNA (79 nucleotides) under Rhizophagus irregularis DAOM 181602=DAOM 197198. RNAcentral describes it as "tRNA-Ile (GAT) (tRNA-Ile-GAT-2-1)". The stretch from base 4 to 62 matches the Rfam family "tRNA", at positions 8 to 63 of the family's 71-position model. Rfam says of the family: Transfer RNA (tRNA) molecules are approximately 80 nucleotides in length. Their secondary structure includes four short double-helical elements and three loops (D, anti-codon, and T loops). The record is from RNAcentral. Lineage: Eukaryota; Fungi; Glomeromycota; Glomeromycetes; Glomerales; Glomeraceae.